Molecule: long non-coding RNA, 700 nt
Filed under: Triticum aestivum (bread wheat)
Lineage: Eukaryota; Viridiplantae; Streptophyta; Magnoliopsida; Poales; Poaceae
Description: long non-coding RNA (TAES_LNC020802)
Source: RNAcentral
UGGGAUUCGGGGUCAUCCUUCUCACCACCAGUCGAACAUACUACCCAAUUUCUGUGUGCAGUGGGCUUGGAGCCGGGGUCAUCCUUCUCACCACCAGUCGAACAUACUACUUCAUCCACCAUGUCGAGCGAUAUAAAACUGUUAUCUGUUUCAUAGAGCAACAACACGAGAUUGUGCCCCCUCUUGAUCCUGGUGCAUAUUGCUGCCCUCCUCCCCCCUUUUGAUUCGAGUUUCUUUACAUUGUGUGAAGUUGUGUACUUCCAACUUUACAAAGCUAUACCAAAUUCGCAACUGUACUUGGCUAUACCUGUAAGUGAUGCAUUUCUCUGCAGGUUACUGACACUUUCUGAAAAAGUAUGGAUAUUGAAUGGAAGACGGGAGAAUGAUUGAUGAAAACAGACAACACUAGAAGUGAAUGCAUUAUUAGUCAAUGGAAACAUGAUUGUUUUAUACACUUUCUUUUACUGAGGAUGAACUUUGUGUUGCAUGCUAUGAACAAAUGUAGUGUUUGACUAAUUUUGAAUUCUAUGUUGAUGCAACAAGUUCAUUCUUUCUGCUUAUAGUCUAUUGUUUUGUGGAAUCAUAAUGUGGGUGAUCCAUUUCUCUUAAAUGUAUUCAAUAAUGCUUCGCUUAUGGGCCAUAUUUAUAUUUGUUACUUGUGGACAUGUGCUUAAUGAUCACUAUACCAAUAUAUUUUUCU